Loxodonta africana (African savanna elephant) is the source of this 67-nucleotide small nucleolar RNA. Ensembl annotates it as small nucleolar RNA SNORD109A. Lineage: Eukaryota; Metazoa; Chordata; Mammalia; Proboscidea; Elephantidae. The record is from Ensembl.
GGAUCGAGGAUGUGCAUAACUGUCUGAGGAUGCCGAGGGACUAGUUGCAGGUAUCAAUCUGAAGUCC